This 489-nucleotide ribosomal RNA is filed under the name uncultured bacterium. Its description in RNAcentral is "bacterial SSU rRNA". It matches the Rfam family "Bacterial small subunit ribosomal RNA", at positions 43 to 517 of the family's 1533-position model. The record is from RNAcentral.
CAGGCCUAACACUGCAAGUCGAACGAGAAAUUCCGCUUCGGCGGAAGAGUAAAGUGGCGCAGGGUGAGUAGCGCGUGGGUAAUUUACCCCUGAGACCGGGAUAACCUUGCAAAGCGGGGCUAAUACCGGAUAAGAUCACAAUCCGUUCGCGGGUAGCGAAAAAGGUGGCCUCUACACGUAAGCUAUCACUCAGGGAUAAGCCCGCGUACAUUAGCUUGUUGGUGGGGUAAUGGCCUACCAAGGCGACGAUGGUUAGCGGUCUGAGAGGAUGAUCAGCCACACUGGAACUGAGACACGGUCCAGACUCUACGGGAGGCAGCAGUGGGGAAUCUUGCGCAAUGGGGGAAACCCUGACCAGCUACGCCGCGUGAGUGAUGAAGGCUUUCGGGUCGUAAAGCUCUGUCGGUGGAAAGAAAGGUCCUGUGAUAAUACCACCAGGGAUUGACGGUACCCCAAAGGAAGCGCCGGCUAACUCCGUGCCAGCAGCCG